AUUGAACGCUGGCGGCAGGCUUAACACAUGCAAGUCGAGCGGGGUGAUGGUGCUUGCACUAUCACUUAGCGGCGGACGGGUGAGUAAUGCUUAGGAAUCUGCCUAUUAGUGGGGGACAACAUCUCGAAAGGGAUGCUAAUACCGCAUACGUCCUACGGGAGAAAGCAGGGGAUCACUUGUGACCUUGCGCUAAUAGAUGAGCCUAAGUCGGAUUAGCUAGUUGGUGGAGUAAAGGCCUACCAAGGCGACGAUCUGUAGCGGGUCUGAGAGGAUGAUCCGCCACACUGGGACUGAAACACGGCCCAGACUCCUACGGGAGGCAGCAGUGGGGAAUAUUGGACAAUGGGGGGAACCCUGAUCCAGCCAUGCCGCGUGUGUGAAGAAGGCCUUAUGGUUGUAAAGCACUUUAAGCGAGGAGGAGGCUCUUUUGGUUAAUACCCAAGAUGAGUGGACGUUACUCGCAGAAUAAGCACCGGCUAACUACGUGCCAGCAGCCGCCGUAA
RNAcentral lists this ribosomal RNA (503 nucleotides) under uncultured bacterium. Its description in RNAcentral is "partial 16S ribosomal RNA". It matches the Rfam family "Bacterial small subunit ribosomal RNA", at positions 30 to 523 of the family's 1533-position model. The record is from RNAcentral.